Molecule: ribosomal RNA, 499 nt
Filed under: uncultured bacterium
Lineage: Bacteria
Description: bacterial SSU rRNA
Rfam family: Bacterial small subunit ribosomal RNA
Source: RNAcentral
GAUGAACGCUAGCGACAGGCUUAACACAUGCAAGUCGAGGGGCAGCACAGGUAGCAAUACCGGGUGGCGACCGGCGCACGGGUGAGUAACGCGUAUGCAACUUGCCUAUCAGAGGGGGAUAACCCGGCGAAAGUCGGACUAAUACCGCAUGAAGCAGGGGCCCCGCAUGGGGAUAUUUGCUAAAGAUUCAUCGCUGAUAGAUAGGCAUGCGUUCCAUUAGGCAGUUGGCGGGGUAACGGCCCACCAAACCGACGAUGGAUAGGGGUUCUGAGAGGAAGGUCCCCCACAUUGGUACUGAGACACGGACCAAACUCCUACGGGAGGCAGCAGUGAGGAAUAUUGGUCAAUGGGCGCGAGCCUGAACCAGCCAAGUCGCGUGAGGGAUGAAGGUUCUAUGGAUCGUAAACCUCUUUUAUAAGGGAAUAAAGUGCGGGACGUGUCCCGUUUUGUAUGUACCUUAUGAAUAAGGAUCGGCUAACUCCGUGCCAGCAGCCGCGGU